AUGUUCUCUGGAAACUUUGAGGUGAGCUUCUUGGCUCAGUUACUCUGGCUUCUGGUGCUUUCCAUUCAAGAUUCCAGGGGGCAGAUUAUGAUAACUCAAUCUCCAGAGUCUGCGGUAGUGACCCCAGGAGACCAAGUCACUUUCAACUGCCGAACGGACUCUGAUGUGGGAACAUCCAUGGCAUGGUACCAGCAGAAAUCUGGACAAGCACCCAAGCUCCUCAUCUUUGGUGCUUCUGCUCUGGCUUCUGGGGCCCCUGCUCGAUUCCAAGGACGUGGCUCCAAAUUAGACUUCACCUUGACCAUCCGUGGAGUAAAAACUGAAGAUGCUGGAGUUUAUCAUUGUCAGCAGCACUAUAGCCGCCCUCCCACAGUGACACAGACUAGUCCAGAAACCUCCUUGUCAAGCUCAGAGCCUCUUGCUCUUAUGACAUGA
Molecule: non-coding RNA, 435 nt
Organism: Gracilinanus agilis (Agile Gracile Mouse Opossum)
Lineage: Eukaryota; Metazoa; Chordata; Mammalia; Didelphimorphia; Didelphidae
Source: the annotation of a RefSeq genome assembly